CAGUCGCCGCGGGAAUACGUAGGGUGCGAGCGUUAAUCGGAAUUACUGGGCGUAAAGCGUGCGCAGGCGGUUUUAUAAGACAGGCGUGAAAUCCCCGGGCUCAACCUGGGAAUGGCGCUUGUGACUGCAAAGCUAGAGUGCGGCAGAGGGGGAUGGAAUUCCGCGUGUAGCAGUGAAAUGCGUAGAUAUGCGGAGGAACACCGAUGGCGAAGGCAAUCCCCUGGGCCUGCACUGACGCUCAUGCACGAAAGCGUGGGGAGCAAACAGGAUUAGAUACCCGAGUAGUCCCUGUCUCUUAUAC
RNAcentral lists this ribosomal RNA (301 nucleotides) under uncultured bacterium. RNAcentral describes it as "partial 16S ribosomal RNA". It matches the Rfam family "Bacterial small subunit ribosomal RNA", at positions 509 to 807 of the family's 1533-position model. The record is from RNAcentral.